GGGGAUAUAGCUCAAUUGGUAGAGUGCUUGCCUUAAAUGCACAAGGCCCUGGGUUCUAAUCCCCAGCACCCCCC
Non-coding RNA from Ictidomys tridecemlineatus (thirteen-lined ground squirrel), 74 nucleotides. The record is from Rfam. Lineage: Eukaryota; Metazoa; Chordata; Mammalia; Rodentia; Sciuridae.